This 16-nucleotide ribosomal RNA is filed under the name Rosellinia corticium. RNAcentral's name for it is "partial 28S ribosomal RNA". RNAcentral also lists the same sequence under 1 other name. The record is from RNAcentral. Lineage: Eukaryota; Fungi; Ascomycota; Sordariomycetes; Xylariales; Xylariaceae.
GUUGACCUCGAAUCAG